This 130-nucleotide ribosomal RNA is filed under the name uncultured bacterium. RNAcentral describes it as "partial 23S ribosomal RNA". It matches the Rfam family "Bacterial large subunit ribosomal RNA", at positions 1 to 129 of the family's 2925-position model. The record is from RNAcentral.
UUGGUCAAGCUACUAAGGGUGUACGGUGGAUGCCUUGGCGCAGAGAGGCGAUGAAGGACGUGGCAAGCUGCGAUAAGCCUCGGGAGCCGCAAGCAGGCUUUGAUCCGGGGAUGUCCGAAUGGGGCAACCC